This 497-nucleotide ribosomal RNA is filed under the name uncultured bacterium. RNAcentral's name for it is "partial 16S ribosomal RNA". It matches the Rfam family "Bacterial small subunit ribosomal RNA", at positions 28 to 507 of the family's 1533-position model. The record is from RNAcentral.
GAUGAACGCUGGCGGCGUGCCUAAUACAUGCAAGUCGAGCGAACGGACGAGAAGCUUGCUUCUCUGAUGAUAGCGGCGGACGGGUGAGUAACACGUGGAUAACCUACCUAUAAGACUGGGAUAACUUCGGGAAACCGGAGCUAAUACCGGAUGAUAUUUUGAACCGCAUGGUUCAAAAGUGAAAGACGGUCUUGCUGUCACUUAUAGAUGGAUCCGCGCUGCAUUAGCUAGUUGGUAAGGUAACGGCUUACCAAGGCAACGAUGCAUAGCCGACCUGAGAGGGUGAUCGGCCACACUGGAACUGAGACACGGUCCAGACUCCUACGGGAGGCAGCAGUAGGGAAUCUUCCGCAAUGGGCGAAAGCCUGACGGAGCGACGCCGCGUGAGUGAUGAAGGUCUUCGGAUCGUAAAACUCUGUUAUUAGGGAAGAACAUAUGUGUAAGUAACUGUGCACAUCUUGACGGUACCUAAUCAGAAAGCCACGGCUAACUACGUG